AACCGAUAAUAGCAAACUUGUGGAAACGCAAGGACGCAAAGCUAAAGGGCCUUUAACAUGGCAGCCAGCUACCGAA
RNAcentral lists this non-coding RNA (76 nucleotides) under Natronincola peptidivorans. Its description in RNAcentral is "GEMM cis-regulatory element". It matches the Rfam family "c-di-GMP-I riboswitch aptamer". From Rfam's summary of the family: GEMM was predicted in a large-scale screen for bacterial structured RNA regulatory elements. Genes associated with GEMM are involved in a diverse array of functions, including chemotaxis regulation, signal transduction, secretion and chitin. The record is from RNAcentral. Lineage: Bacteria; Bacillati; Bacillota; Clostridia; Peptostreptococcales; Natronincolaceae.